This 496-nucleotide ribosomal RNA is filed under the name uncultured bacterium. RNAcentral's name for it is "bacterial SSU rRNA". It matches the Rfam family "Bacterial small subunit ribosomal RNA", at positions 8 to 507 of the family's 1533-position model. The record is from RNAcentral.
AGAGUUUGAUCAUGGCUCAGAUUGAACGCUGGCGGUAGGCCUAACACAUGCAAGUCGAACGCGAAAGUCCUUCGGGAUGAGUAGAGUGGCGGACGGGUGAGUAACGCGUAGGAAUCUAUCCUGUAGUGGGGAUAACGUCUCGAAAGGAACGCUAAUACCGCAUACGCCCACGGGGAAGCGGGGAUCUUCGGACCUCGUGCUAUAGGAGGAGCCUGCGUCGGAUUAGCUAGUUGGUGAGGUAAAGGCUCACCAAGGCGACGAUCCGUAGCUGGUCUGAGAGGAUGAUCAGCCACACCGGAACUGAGACACGGUCCGGACUCCUACGGGAGGCAGCAGGUGGGGAAUAUUGCGCAAUGGGCGAAAGCCUGACGCAGCCAUACCGCGUGUGUGAAGAAGGCCUUCGGUUGUAAAGCACUUUCAGUGGGGAGGAAAAGCGGGUGGCUAAUAUCCAUCGGCCGUGACGCUACCCACAGAAGAAGCACCGGCUAAUUCCGUG